GAAAAACCAGAAAUAUAACUUCUUCGCUAAGAUGCCCUUUUGUACACAAACAACUAGCUGAGUGUAUGCAGCGAUAUUGUUUAGUAAUGAUCAUUGUUUACAAAAGCUGUAGUCGCCGGAGUAGAGAUCGGAGAAGUUGGCCGGAGAAAGAGCAAGUUAUCGGUGGAGAGAAAGUGAUCAGUGGUGGUGGUGGGUUCAAUGGACUUAGGACAAAGAAAUU
RNAcentral lists this unclassified non-coding RNA (220 nucleotides) under Hevea brasiliensis (rubber tree). Lineage: Eukaryota; Viridiplantae; Streptophyta; Magnoliopsida; Malpighiales; Euphorbiaceae. The record is from RNAcentral.